Solanum stenotomum is the source of this 677-nucleotide long non-coding RNA. RefSeq lists it as uncharacterized. NCBI's taxonomy places the organism in Eukaryota, Viridiplantae, Streptophyta, Magnoliopsida, Solanales, Solanaceae. The record is from RefSeq and is a predicted model, not a curated record. The transcript has 5 exons.
AUUUUGAAUUCCUCGCCCAUUUUCAGGUGUGGAUGGUUUUUUGGGGAAACAGAACAGAAGGUCAAUUUCAGAGAGAAGCGAGAGGGCUCUGUAAUUUCUUGAUCUUGAUAACAUGGAGGCCAGGCGCUGUGCAAGAGAGGGAAAUUAGCAUCUUUUUUGUAGUGGAGUUGUUGCAAUGGAUUACCCCGGUGGGCUUUCAGAAGGCCUUCCUUCAUGGUUACAUACCAAGUUUUGACUCGCUGGUUGAUGACGUCAUUGAGCAUUACUCAAAAUUUAAAGACUGCCUAUGAUGUCAUCUCUUACAAACAUAAACCCCGUUUACAGACCGCCCUGGAGUUGCUGAAUGCCACCAAAGAAGUAGAGGGACUACUAGCUAGAAAAGUUAGAGGUUGAAGCUUCUACAUACAUAAACAUGUGGCAUCAAUGAAGGUUCAAGAGUUAUAAAAGUAUGUGUUAAUUUUGUUUUAUACUUAACAUUUAAGUUGGAGAUAAUUAUAAUUUAUUUGUAUUUUAACUAUUUAAGUAGUUCAGUUUGGUGGUUCUUUUUUGACUUGAUGUCACUUUUUUUCUUUUAUAUCUUUGAAAUAGUACAAGCAGAUAAACUAAUAAUGUACAAUGUCAGUGCUAAUGUAGAAUUAUUUAUGUGUAUUGUAAAUAAUAAAGUUGUAAUUGUGACG